AAAAAAUCAACCUCAGAGGAAUAAAUCACAGCCCAGAGGGGAAUUCUUAAGCAAAGGGCACAGCCCCUGUGCCACCCGCAGGGGACAAUCCUGGGAUGGCCCCUGUGUCCCUGUGUCCCUGUGUCCCUGUGUCCCUGUGUCCCUGGGGGGGGGGGGGGGGGGGGGGGGGGGGGGGGGGGGGGGGGGGGGGGGGGGGGGGGGGGGGGGGGGGGGGGGGUGCCAUGUCCCCUGUGUCCUUGUGUCCCUGCAGGGACACUCCUGGCAUGUCCCCUGUGUCCCUGUGUCCCUGCAGGGACACUCCUGGCAUGUCCCCUGUGUCCCUGUGUCCCUGCAGGGACACUCCUGGCAUGUCCCCUGUGUCCCUGUGUCCCUGCAGGGACACUCCUGGCAUGUCCCCUGUGUCCCUGUGUCCCUGCAGGGACACUCCUGGCAUGUCCCCUGUGUCCCUGUGUCCCUGCAGGGACACUCCUGGCAUGUCCCCUGUGUCCCUGUGUCCCUGCAGGGACACUCCUGGCAUGUCCCCUGUGUCCCUGUGUCCCUGCAGGGACACUCCUGGCAUGUCCCCUGUGUCCCUGUGUCCCUGCAGGGACACUCCUGGCAUGUCCCCUGUGUCCCUGUGUCCCUGCAGGGACACUCCUGGCAUGUCCCCUGUGUCCCUGUGUCCCUGCAGGGACACUCCUGGCAUGUCCCCUGUGUCCCUGUGUCCCUGCAGGGACACUCCUGGCAUGUCCCCUGUGUCCCUGUGUCCCUGCAGGGACACUCCUGGCAUGUCCCCUGUGUCCCUGUGUCCCUGCAGGGACACUCCUGGCAUGUCCCCUGUGUCCCUGUGUCCCUGCAGGGACACUCCUGGCAUGUCCCCUGUGUCCCUGUGUCCCUGCAGGGACACUCCUGGCAUGUCCCCUGUGUCCCUGUGUCCCUGCAGGGACACUCCUGGCAUGUCCCCUGUGUCCCUGUGUCCCUGCAGGGACACUCCUGGCAUGUCCCCUGUGUCCCUGUGUCCCUGCAGGGACACUCCUGGCAUGUCCCCUGUGUCCCUGUGUCCCUGCAGGGACACUCCUGGCAUGUCCCCUGUGUCCCUGUGUCCCUGCAGGGACACUCCUGGCAUGUCCCCUGUGUCCCUGUGUCCCUGCAGGGACACUCCUGGCAUGUCCCCUGUGUCCCUGUGUCCCUGCAGGGACACUCCUGGCAUGUCCCCUGUGUCCCUGUGUCCCUGCAGGGACACUCCUGGCAUGUCCCCUGUGUCCCUGUGUCCCUGGCAGGGGACACUCCUGGCAUGUCCCCUGUGUCCCCGUGUCCCCGCAGAGCCCCGUUAUCUCCCCGGGCAGGACGUUCUGUUGAUUUGCUCCUGGAGCUGCCUCUGAGAACUUCCCUUCAUCCUUUGCCUGCUUUGAACCCCUUCCAGUGCCCCGCUGCAGCCAAAAUGACAUUUAGGAAGCAAACUGGGACAGAACCCCGAGGUUCUGUGGAAGGGCAGAGAGAGAAAUU
Molecule: long non-coding RNA, 1485 nt
Filed under: Ficedula albicollis (Collared flycatcher)
Lineage: Eukaryota; Metazoa; Chordata; Aves; Passeriformes; Muscicapidae
Description: lncRNA (ENSFALG00000019467.2)
Source: RNAcentral